UCGCCUCAGCAGCCGUACCCUACAAAAUUCAAGCCCUACAGAAAAGACUAGUGUGGCCCCUGUGCAAAGAUAACAUGCAAAUUCAUGAAACAUGUCCUAGUUUU
This is a small nuclear RNA of Hippopotamus amphibius kiboko, 104 nucleotides long. Lineage: Eukaryota; Metazoa; Chordata; Mammalia; Artiodactyla; Hippopotamidae. The record is from RefSeq and is a predicted model, not a curated record.